Spinacia oleracea (spinach) is the source of this 294-nucleotide long non-coding RNA. RefSeq lists it as uncharacterized. The record is from RefSeq and is a predicted model, not a curated record. NCBI's taxonomy places the organism in Eukaryota, Viridiplantae, Streptophyta, Magnoliopsida, Caryophyllales, Amaranthaceae. The transcript is spliced from 2 exons.
UUCUGUAUCCUCAGAACAGGUUCAAAGUAGGAUUUCCUAAAACCUGGAAGAUGGAAAACAUGUUCGGAAGCAGAAAAGUGAAGGAACAUGGGUCAUCUUCUUAUCAGAAAGCAGACAACCACUUGAAUAUUCCUAAAAGGUCUCCAGAUCUUGCAGGAAAGCAAGAAGAUAGAGUUGAGGAUUGACAGGCAUACCUCAGACGCAACAUAGACAACGUUGUCCACUGUGCGCCAAUAUCUAGCAGGACGAAGGCCAUUUCGAUCCAGACAAGCGCCAACAGUUUUUCCAUCACUG